CUAUGGUUGAGGGACGGUCAAUGGUAGAACAUCUGCUUUGUAUGCAGAACGUCCUAGGUUCGAGCCCCAGUUGAAAGG
This 78-nucleotide transfer RNA is filed under the name Sphaerodactylus townsendi. RNAcentral describes it as "tRNA-Thr". The record is from RNAcentral. Lineage: Eukaryota; Metazoa; Chordata; Lepidosauria; Squamata; Sphaerodactylidae.